GACGAACGCUGGCGGCGUGCCUAACACAUGCAAGUCGAGCGGGAUCCAUCCAGUAGCAAUACUGGGGAAGAUCUAGCGGCGAACGGGUGAGUAACACGUGAGAAACCUGCCCCGAAGUCUGGGAUAACCCGAGGAAACUCGAGCUAAUACCGGAUGCCCUCCUCUGGUCGCAUGGCCGGUGGAGGAAAGAUUCAUUGCUUCGGGAGGGUCUCGCGGCCUAUCAGCUAGUUGGUGGGGUAACGGCCCACCAAGGCGUCGACGGGUAGCUGGUCUGAGAGGACGAUCAGCCACACUGGGACUGAGACACGGCCCAGACUCCUACGGGAGGCUG
This 331-nucleotide ribosomal RNA is filed under the name uncultured Actinomycetes bacterium. Its description in RNAcentral is "bacterial SSU rRNA". It matches the Rfam family "Bacterial small subunit ribosomal RNA", at positions 28 to 351 of the family's 1533-position model. The record is from RNAcentral. Lineage: Bacteria; Bacillati; Actinomycetota; Actinomycetes.